GGGCGCGUAGCUCAGUGGUAGAGCGCUUGACUCACAUUCAAGAGGUCAGAGGUUCGAUACCUCUCGUGCCCACCA
RNAcentral lists this transfer RNA (75 nucleotides) under Thermaerobacter sp. RNAcentral's name for it is "tRNA-Val". It matches the Rfam family "tRNA". Rfam says of the family: Transfer RNA (tRNA) molecules are approximately 80 nucleotides in length. Their secondary structure includes four short double-helical elements and three loops (D, anti-codon, and T loops). Further hydrogen bonds mediate the characteristic L-shaped molecular structure. tRNAs have two regions of fundamental functional importance: the anti-codon, which is responsible for specific mRNA codon recognition, and the 3' end, to which the tRNAs corresponding amino acid is attached (by aminoacyl-tRNA synthetases). tRNAs cope with the degeneracy of the genetic code in two manners: having more than one tRNA (with a specific anti-codon) for a particular amino acid; and 'wobble' base-pairing, i.e. permitting non-standard base-pairing at the 3rd anti-codon position. Lineage: Bacteria; Bacillati; Bacillota; Clostridia; Eubacteriales; Clostridiales Family XVII. Incertae Sedis. The record is from RNAcentral.